This is a non-coding RNA of Ricinus communis (castor bean), 92 nucleotides long. The record is from Rfam. Lineage: Eukaryota; Viridiplantae; Streptophyta; Magnoliopsida; Malpighiales; Euphorbiaceae.
AAUUGGCAGUGAUGAUCUAAACACAGCUUUAAAUGCCAGUUCUGCUUCAGAAAAUUCGUGAUUGAUAGAGCUGUUAUUACUCUGAGCCCUUG